RNAcentral lists this microRNA precursor (96 nucleotides) under Heterocephalus glaber (naked mole-rat). Its description in RNAcentral is "mir-544 microRNA precursor family". It matches the Rfam family "mir-544 microRNA precursor family". The record is from Rfam by way of RNAcentral. Lineage: Eukaryota; Metazoa; Chordata; Mammalia; Rodentia; Bathyergidae.
AUCACCUAGGGAGCUUAUUAAAAUGCAGAUUCUAAUGUAGUAGAUUUGGGGUGCAGUGAGACUCUGCAUUUCUAAUAAGCUCCCUGGCGGUACCAA